RNAcentral lists this ribosomal RNA (496 nucleotides) under uncultured bacterium. RNAcentral describes it as "partial 16S ribosomal RNA". It matches the Rfam family "Bacterial small subunit ribosomal RNA", at positions 29 to 507 of the family's 1533-position model. The record is from RNAcentral.
AUGAACGCUGGCGGCGUGCCUAAUACAUGCAAGUCGAGCGAACGGACGAGAAGCUUGCUUCUCUGAUGUUAGCGGCGGACGGGUGAGUAACACGUGGAUAGCCUACCUAUAAGACUGGGAUAACUUCGGGAAACCGGAGCUAAUACCGGAUAAUAUUUUGAACCGCAUGGUUCAAAAGUGAAAGACGGUCUUGCUGUCACUUAUAGAUGGAUCCGCGCUGCAUUAGCUAGUUGGUAAGGUAACGGCUUACCAAGGCAACGAUGCAUAGCCGACCUGAGAGGGUGAUCGGCCACACUGGAACUGAGACACGGUCCAGACUCCUACGGGAGGCAGCAGUAGGGAAUCUUCCGCAAUGGGCGAAAGCCUGACGGAGCAACGCCGCGUGAGUGAUGAAGGUCUUCGGAUCGUAAAACUCUGUUAUUAGGGAAGAACAUAUGUGUAAGUAACUGUGCACAUCUUGACGGUACCUAAUCAGAAAGCCACGGCUAACUACGUG